UACGUAGGGUGCAAGCGAUGUCCGGAUUUACUGGGUUUAAAGGGUGCGCCGGCGGCCCGGUCAGUCAGUGAUGAAAUGCUCAGGCUUAACCUGCAGCGCUGUUACUGAUACUGCCAGGCUUGAGAGCGGACGAGGUGGCUGGAAUGAGUGGUGUAGCGGUGAAAUGCGUAGAGAUCACUCAGAACACCAAUUGCGAAGGCACGUCACUAGACCGAAUCUGACGCUGAGGCACGAAAGCGUGGGGAGCAAACAGG
RNAcentral lists this ribosomal RNA (254 nucleotides) under uncultured bacterium. RNAcentral's name for it is "partial 16S ribosomal RNA". It matches the Rfam family "Bacterial small subunit ribosomal RNA", at positions 524 to 776 of the family's 1533-position model. The record is from RNAcentral.